GAAGCUGACCAGACAGUCGCCGCUUCGUCGUCGUCCUUUCGGGGAGACGGGCGGAGGGGAGGAAAGUCCGGGCUCCAUAGGGCAGGGUGCCAGGUAACGCCUGGGGGGGAAACCCACGACCAGUGCAACAGAGAGCAAACCGCCGAUGGCCCACGUAAGUGGGAUCAGGUAAGGGUGAAAGGGUGCGGUAAGAGCGCACCGCGCGGCUGGUAACAGUCCGUGGCACGGUAAACUCCACCCGGAGCAAGGCUAAAUAGGGGUUCAUAAGGUACGGCCCGUACUGAACCCGGGUAGGCUGCUUGAGCCAGUGAGCGAUCGCUGGCCUAGAUGAAUGACUGUCCACGACAGAACCCGGCUUAUCGGUCAGUUUCACUU
Molecule: RNase P RNA, 375 nt
Filed under: Salmonella enterica
Lineage: Bacteria; Pseudomonadati; Pseudomonadota; Gammaproteobacteria; Enterobacterales; Enterobacteriaceae
Description: RNase P RNA component class A
Rfam family: Bacterial RNase P class A
About the family: Ribonuclease P (RNase P) is a ubiquitous endoribonuclease, found in archaea, bacteria and eukarya as well as chloroplasts and mitochondria. Its best characterised activity is the generation of mature 5'-ends of tRNAs by cleaving the 5'-leader elements of precursor-tRNAs.
Source: RNAcentral